Molecule: ribosomal RNA, 457 nt
Filed under: uncultured bacterium
Lineage: Bacteria
Description: SSU rRNA
Rfam family: Bacterial small subunit ribosomal RNA
Source: RNAcentral
AGAAUCAACGCUGGCGGCGUGCCUAACACAUGCAAGUCGAACGGGAAAGUGGAGCAAUCCAUGAGUAUAGUGGCGACCGGGUGAGUAACACGUGACUAACCUACCCUUGAGUGGGGGAUAACUGAGGGAAACCUUAGCUAAUACCGCAUAAUACCCACGGGUCAAAGGAGCAAUUCGCUCGAGGAGGGGGUCGCGGCCGAUUAGUUAGUUGGCAGGGUAAUGGCCUACCAAGACGAUGAUCGGUAUCCGGCCUGAGAGGGCGCACGGACACACUGGAACUGAAACACGGUCCAGACUCCUACGGGAGGCAGCAGUGGGAAUUUGCGCAAUGGGGGAAACCCUGACGCAGCAACGCCGCGUGGAGGAUGAAGUCCUUCGGGACGUAAACUCCUUUCGAUCGGGACGAUUAUGACGGUACCGGAAGAAGAAGCCCGGCUAACUUCGCGCCAGCAGCCGC